GCCGAGGUAGCUCAGCCUGGGAGAGAUAAUUUACUCUAACACUCGGCUGAAGACCGAGCUGUCGCCGGUUCAAAUCCGGCCCUCGGCA
RNAcentral lists this transfer RNA (88 nucleotides) under Nitrososphaerota archaeon. RNAcentral describes it as "Thaumarchaeota archaeon tRNA-Phe". It matches the Rfam family "tRNA". Rfam says of the family: Transfer RNA (tRNA) molecules are approximately 80 nucleotides in length. Their secondary structure includes four short double-helical elements and three loops (D, anti-codon, and T loops). Further hydrogen bonds mediate the characteristic L-shaped molecular structure. tRNAs have two regions of fundamental functional importance: the anti-codon, which is responsible for specific mRNA codon recognition, and the 3' end, to which the tRNAs corresponding amino acid is attached (by aminoacyl-tRNA synthetases). tRNAs cope with the degeneracy of the genetic code in two manners: having more than one tRNA (with a specific anti-codon) for a particular amino acid; and 'wobble' base-pairing, i.e. permitting non-standard base-pairing at the 3rd anti-codon position. Lineage: Archaea; Thermoproteati; Nitrososphaerota. The record is from RNAcentral.